This is a long non-coding RNA of Cervus elaphus (red deer), 907 nucleotides long. RefSeq lists it as uncharacterized. The transcript has 3 exons. Lineage: Eukaryota; Metazoa; Chordata; Mammalia; Artiodactyla; Cervidae. The record is from RefSeq and is a predicted model, not a curated record.
GUUGCUGGUGUUGACACCCUAGGGUCAAGCCUUUCUCCUUUUCUCAAGGAUGGAGACGAGUGGGUCCAGAUGUACAGCCUGCUUCCCAAGUGGCCAUCCUAUGCUGAACCCUCCAGUCAUCACAGCUUCCCCAGGAGAGAGAUCACGAGGGGAUUUCCUUGAGGCUGAACAUGAAGAUGGAGAGGAGCACCCAGGAUGGGAUUUGGGGGCUCCAGAGUUGAGAACUGCCGCCAGCUGAUGCCAGCAAGGAGGUGGGGACCAGAUUCUGGCCCUUCUAACAGGACGGGACCACAGGAGGAAUUCUGUGCUCGUUCUCUGCAGUGACAUUGUGUAACUCGAGCUAAUCUACAAGGGGACCAGCCAUCCAUUUCACGUGGACAGUGAAGCGCCUGCUGCCGAAACUCCAUGACUGCCAUUUGUUACCGACAUAGAGAACACUGCCUUACACAAUCAUAAGAGAGUUUUCCGGAAAAAAAAAAAAAAAAAUUGGGGUUGAUGAAUUGCUUUCAAAUAUGUAUCUGAUUAAACAAAAAGAAAAUUAGAAAAUCUCUCUGCAUUGCCUAUUUUGGAGUGUAAGGGAUUGUUUAUCUAUAUGUGGGUUAUUUUCAAAUAUCUGUUGAUAUUGAUCUCUAACAUAAUUCCACAGUGAUAAAAGAACAGACUCUGUAUGAUUUCAAUACUUUUAGACCAUAAAAUUUUUGCACUUGGGCUUAUGUCCCCGGAUAUGUUCCAGGGUCUUCUAGUUUAUAGUCUAUAGGAACUUGAAUAGCGUUUGUAUCCUACUGUUGUGUGAAAAUUGCAUAAGUCCUAAUUAUGUUGAAUGGGUUCAUAGUGCUUUUCGGGUCUACUAUAUCCUUCUAUGUCUCUGUAUAUUCAUUCUAUUAAUUUUUGAGUGUUUGAUAUUGAA